Molecule: ribosomal RNA, 427 nt
Filed under: uncultured bacterium
Lineage: Bacteria
Description: partial 16S ribosomal RNA
Rfam family: Bacterial small subunit ribosomal RNA
Source: RNAcentral
UGGGGAAUAUUGGACAAUGGGCGAAAGCCUGAUCCAGCCAUGCCGCGUGUGUGAAGAAGGUCUUCGGAUUGUAAAGCACUUUAAGUUGGGAGGAAGGGCAUUAACCUAAUACGUUAGUGUUUUGACGUUACCGACAGAAUAAGCACCGGCUAACUCUGUGCCAGCAGCCGCGGUAAUACAGAGGGUGCAAGCGUUAAUCGGAAUUACUGGGCGUAAAGCGCGCGUAGGUGGUUUGUUAAGUUGGAUCUGAAAUCCCCGGGCUCAACCUGGGAACUGCAUUCAAAACUGACUGACUAGAGUAUGGUAGAGGGUGGUGGAAUUUCCUGUGUAGCGGUGAAAUGCGUAGAUAUAGGAAGGAACACCAGUGGCGAAGGCGACCACCUGGACUAAUACUGACACUGAGGUGCGAAAGCGUGGGGAGCAAACA